UGAGUAACCUGCCCUGGACUUUGGGAUAACCCUCGGAAACGGGGGCUAAUACCGGAUAUGACAUGCUCUCGCAUGGGGGUGUGUGGAAAGUUUUCGGUCUGGGAUGGGCUCGCGGCCUAUCAGCUUGUUGGUGGGGUGAUGGCCUACCAAGGCGGUGACGGGUAGCCGGCCUGAGAGGGCGACCGGCCACACUGGGACUGAGACACGGCCCAGGCUCCUACGGGAGGCA
RNAcentral lists this ribosomal RNA (229 nucleotides) under uncultured bacterium. RNAcentral describes it as "partial 16S ribosomal RNA". It matches the Rfam family "Bacterial small subunit ribosomal RNA", at positions 118 to 350 of the family's 1533-position model. The record is from RNAcentral.